GUGCUCACUUCAGCAGCACAUAUACUAAAAUUGGAAUGAUACAGAGAUUAGCAUGGCCCCUGUGCAAGGAUGACGUGCAAAUUUGUGAAGCAUUCCAUAUUUUU
Molecule: small nuclear RNA, 104 nt
Filed under: Dasypus novemcinctus (nine-banded armadillo)
Lineage: Eukaryota; Metazoa; Chordata; Mammalia; Cingulata; Dasypodidae
Source: RNAcentral